Molecule: unclassified non-coding RNA, 22 nt
Filed under: Chlamydomonas reinhardtii
Lineage: Eukaryota; Viridiplantae; Chlorophyta; Chlorophyceae; Chlamydomonadales; Chlamydomonadaceae
Description: small RNA Cre_2114
Source: RNAcentral
UAAACAGACAAGGCGACCGACA